UAUAGGUAUAUUGAGUCCAUUUAUAGUUUAAGUAUUUUCUUCUUGUAUAAAAAAUUUAAAGACUAUUCUUAUUUGAGUAAGAACAAAUUUUAAUUUUUGCACAUAUGCGCAUAAAGUUAUAUAUCUUUUGUACAUUAAAGUAUUAUUAUGUACAAAAGUGGGACUUUGAGUUGAACUUAUAAUAAGUUCAUAUGGUUGUAACUCAUAAUGUUAUUUGGUUAAGAAAUACGUGCUUUUGAUACAUGAAAGAGAGUGUUCAUCUUUUGAAACAUAACCGCUAUGAUCAAAGUAUUAUGAUUUGUUGGUCGAGUGGGAGAUUUUGGUUGUAUAAUUUAGUUGGUAUAUAAUAAAGUUUUGUAUCGCCUACACACUAUGAAUAUAUCAUUAAGUCAAGUGGGAGAAUAUUGGACGUGGCCCACGUGAUUUAUUCAAGGUGGUCUAUAAAGAUACAGUCAGUCUAUUCAAGUCAAUUUAUAAAUAUACAGUAGACCUAGCGAUUAGGAUGUAUCUGAACAUAUUCUUGAUGGACAUGCAUGAUUUAACAUCCUUACAUCAAGUUAUAUAUAAAUAUGUAAUAUACGGAAGUACCGGUCUAACCCUAAUACUAAUUCCUGUGACGGUUCUAUCUCUGAGGAUAAGAGAAUUAUACUCGUAACGUACCAAUCUUUUGUAGAUCGUCAAGAAGGACGAACCAAGAGCAAGAAUUGCCGUCUACAAUCUAGAUAUAGAAAUCGAAAUCAUGGCAAAAUGUACGAUCUUAAAUUCUUAUAAAGUUUAGCAGUCACUUUACUUGCAACUCC
This 800-nucleotide long non-coding RNA is filed under the name Ananas comosus (pineapple). Its description in RNAcentral is "long non-coding RNA (ACOM_LNC025934)". The record is from RNAcentral. Lineage: Eukaryota; Viridiplantae; Streptophyta; Magnoliopsida; Poales; Bromeliaceae.